AUGCGGACCGGCGUCGCCGGCAGCACCUGGCUCCCCGCUACCCCGGCGCAGCCGGACGGGCUGUGGCAGCGCGGGCGGCGGAGCUCCCCCAGCCCGGCCCCUGGGGCUGAGCGAGCCGCGCCGCCGCCGCUACCGCCGCGCCCGCCCGAGGAGCGGAGCGGAGCCGAGCGGCGCUGGACGCGUGGCGGUGGCGCAGCCGAGUCGAGCUGGGGCCGCCGCUAUUUAGGGCGGGCACGGCGGGCGCCGCCACAGCCAGAGCGGGCGCGGGACGGCGGGGACGGCAGAUCUCCUUCCCCAUUUAUACAGUGAUAUUUGGUAGAUGAAGUGAACCGCUUCGAAAGUGUAAUUUCUAUGUGAAAUGAUCUGGGGAAAGCUUUGAGACACGGAAAACCGUGUUUCAGAGAUCCGUCAUGUUGGAUUGGUCCUAGUAUUAUCCCACGCCAUCCUGAUUUGUACCACGAGUGACCCAGCAGUCUGGCUUCUUCCUCACUCCUGCUUCAGGUAUGAUGGCGACCAAGUGUCACUGCCGUUGUGGUGCUAGCAUAAAGCCGAGAGCCCGCAUUGUAAUGUUAUACUCCUGGAGUCAUCCUUUUCUUUCUGUGUGCAUGUACCUGCUUGGGUGUGAGCGGGGGUUUCCAGUUCAAAACUGUCACUUCGAACCCUUGUUCUGUCACUAUAUGUCGCUUGUUGCUGCAAACAGUGGAUGUGAAAUACUUUUGGGGAUGAGUAUUGGUACCACAGCAAAGAGCAGGAGUUCAGCAGAAUUAUAAAACAGCCAGUGACAAGGUUUGAGGCAGGCAGUGAUCAUUUUUCCAGGAUACUGUGGACACCAAUAUGUGAGACAUGACAGGGGCUUAAAGGAGAAUAAAGUUUCCCCAGAGAGACUUUCUCUUCUCCAGUUGUAAGACUGAUGUAAACUCCAGGGAAGAAACGUCAUUCACAAAACUAAGUGGGCAGCUGCCUUCAGAGCAGCGGAAAGGUACCUUUGCCAGUAAUUGUAAUUUCUUUAUUGUUAUACUGAUGUCUAUGGAAUGUUAAACAGGUCAUUCCAGGAAGCAAUGGCUGAGAUCCAUGAGGUUUCUCAGGACAGAUGUGUUUUUUUGUAUUUACCCCAAAGUUAAGAUGGUAUCAUAACAAAGAAUUUAGCUUGUGCAUCAUACACUCCUCUUAAAUAUUAAAAUGAACAAAUAUCACACAUAUUGUCAAUCUGUUGUUUUUCAUGUUGCCCGUAACAUUUUUCCCUUUUACUCCCAGAUCCUGACUGUCCCAGAAUAGCAUCAUCACCAGACAUCACUCUUAUUUCUCCUGAAAUCACAGAUUGUUCUGUCUUCUUUGCAGCCAGUGGUCACUCCCUAUAUCACACUUCUGGUAGGCUAGAAGGAGAUCGAAAUUGAGCACAUGUAAUGCAGGCAUGUGUGAGUAAAUGACAGAGAAUCAAAAAAUAGAAAAAUCAAAUCUGCUCUGUGGUGUGAGCAAUGCUGGUUCACAGCAUUUUUAGAGUUCUGCAAAGUAUAUUUUUAAAUUCAAACAUGUCAAAAUGCAGGAAGAUGUGAUGGGCCUGGCUGCUUUCAGUGUCUUUUACAGAGAGUAAGCAUGACAGUACACUGUCCUCACCUAAAUGCAGAACAAAAAUCAGUGGCAAAGUGUUCCUACCUGGCAGAGUCAGGGAAAUGUUCCUUCCUCCUGUUCAUGCUCUGAAACGGUGAAGAAUGGGAGCCCUGGUUCCCCAGUGGCACCCAGUGAGAAGUUGUUAUAAGCAGUUGUGUCAUUCCUUACCGGUCGGUGCAUCAUAGUACCAUAAAGCUGAGUCCUGAGCCAGUUUCAGAUUUGAAUUAUGGUGUCCUGCAAAGCUUGCACUGUCUUGGAUUUUGGUUCAUUUUGAGUUGGCUAAGUUUACAGUGUAUUGAAAUAAAUAAAAAUAUAAAUAGUAUUUGCACUGUUUUUCACAGGGCAAAAGGCCCUUUCUAAUCUAUUUUGCUUCCCCAGUACUGGGCUGUUGGAAAUCGUGUUUCUGAAAGAUUGUUUAAGCUAUUCUUAAAAAAUGUCUAAGACAGAGAAGUCACAGUGUCUCCAAGCAAAUCUUUUAAGACCUUCACUACCCUUACCAUGUGCGAGGUCUUCUUAACAGCUCAGUUUUCCUUGGUGCAGCUAAAUCCCUCUCCUUUCAGUGAUAUUAGUCAUAGUCAUGGGGAACAGACUUUUCCUUCCUGUUCUGCAGCAGGCUUCCAUGAAUAUAAAGUCUGUUGAACAUCUCCAGCUGAGUCCUUUCUAGCCCAGACAUGCCUGUUCAUUCAGUUUAUUCUCAUAAAUUCACUUUUCUGAAAAUCCUCACUGCCUUCCUUUGACCUCUUCCUAUGCGGUCCAUAUCAGAGGAACACAGUGCCCAAGGCUGAACACAAGGCUUCCAUUUGGCUUUGUUCAAGAUGAACAGAUUAAGAUCUAUCAGAGGUCCUAGUUAAGAAUAGGACAAAUCUACCAAAGUCUUUGCUACUUUAAAGGGGUACAAUAUUGUUGACGCUGAUGACAGUACAUGUUGGUCCUACACUAUGCAGAGCUGUUAUCUAGCUGGUUACACUCCAUCAUAUGCUAGGACAGCUGCUUAUUUCUACCUGAACUAAAUACAAAUCAUAGAAUCAUAGAAACUCAAGGUUGGAAAGGAUCUACAAGAUCAUCUAGUCCAACUGUCCUCCUAUCACCAAUACUACCCACUAAGCUAUUAAAUCAUCUCUUGUAGCACCUCGUCCAAGUGGUUCUUGAACACUGUCAGGGACGGUGACUCCAGACUAAACAAUCCCAGUUCCCUCAGCCGCUCCUCACAGGACUUGUGUUCCAGGCCCUUCUCUAGACAUGUUCCAGGGCCUCAAUGUCCUUCUUGUAGUGAGGGGCCUAAAACUGAACACAGCACUCAAGGUGUGGCCUCACUAAAGCUGAGGGGAUGAUCACCUCCCUGCUCCUGCUGGCUACACCAUUUCUAAUAUAGGCCGGGAUGCUGUUUGCCUCCUUGGCCGCCUGGGCACACUGCUGACUGCAUGGGGUUGUUGUGACCAAAGUGCAGGACCCAGCACUUGACCUUGUUGAACCUCAUCCCAUUGGCCUCUGCCCAUCAAUCCAAACUUUCCAGUUCCCUCUGAAGGGCCGCCCUACCCCUCAGCAGAUCGACAUUUCCCCCCAACUUGGUUUCAUCUGCAAACUUAUUGAGGGUAAACUCAAUCCCCUUAUCUAGGUAAUCAAUAAAGAUAUUAAACAAGAUAGGCCCUAGUACCGCCCCCAGGGGCACACUGCUUGUAACGGAACGCCAGCUGGACUUAACUCCAUUAACGACAACUCUCUGGGCAUGGCCCUCCAGCCAGUUCUUUAUCCAGAGAAGAG
Molecule: long non-coding RNA, 3369 nt
Filed under: Cairina moschata (Muscovy duck)
Lineage: Eukaryota; Metazoa; Chordata; Aves; Anseriformes; Anatidae
Description: domestica (muscovy Duck (domestic type)) lncRNA (ENSCMMG00000006136.1)
Source: RNAcentral